UUUUUGAAAGGAAGGAGGUAAAUUUUUAGAGAUUUACUUAUUUUUAUUUUAUGUUUACAUUUUACCGCAACAGAUGCACAUGAACCUUGUGAAAGCCUGGUGCUGAAAAGCCAGAGGAAGACAUCAGAUCUCCUAGCUCUGGAGACAUGAUUGUGAGCCACCACAGAGAUAUUGAGACUGACCCCAGGUCCUCUGCAAGAACAGAAAGUACUUUCAACAGCUGAGCCAUCUCUUCAUCCCCCAGAGGAUACACUCUUGACAAGAUGGAAACACUUUGCCUUCGCAACUUGGAAAUAUCCCAGAAGUAUUCUGUGCAGCUGCCUGGUACACCAGGGGAGGAAUGUACAGAUGCCACGGACAUGGUCCACACCAGGCCUCACUGUGCUUGAUCGUCAGGGAAGAAAGCCAGACUGCCCCACCUGCCUUGCUGACCUACAGUUAAAUAAACAUCCUCCCAGGAGAUGCACAGAGACUGUGGGCAGGGCAAAGGAAGCAGAGGAAGCUCUCCGGGGGUGAGAAUCCAGACACCCCUCAUCCCAGCCCCCAGUCCAGUUCUGAGAGCCUGGUAAGUAGUCCGCAUGUGUUUGUCAACUGAAUACAUGAAUGAAUGACCUGAUAGCACCUGUGCGGUUCAGACUGAGAGGAAGGGCAAAUGGAUACAAAAGCCAAGAUGUUGUCACUAAACUGAAUGAGCA
This is a long non-coding RNA of Mus spicilegus (steppe mouse), 695 nucleotides long. NCBI's taxonomy places the organism in Eukaryota, Metazoa, Chordata, Mammalia, Rodentia, Muridae. The record is from Ensembl.